Molecule: long non-coding RNA, 1427 nt
Organism: Panicum virgatum (switchgrass)
Lineage: Eukaryota; Viridiplantae; Streptophyta; Magnoliopsida; Poales; Poaceae
Exons: 2
Source: RefSeq, a predicted model, not a curated record
GCUCAGCCUCCUCCGUCGUCCCGGCGAGGCUCCGCCGCGGGAGCGUCGGAUUCUCGCCGCCCAGCCUUCUCCCUCGUCCCCUGCGCCGCGGGCUCGCGUCCCAGACACCGCCGCGGGCUCGUGUCCCCUCUGGGCGCGGACGGCGAGCCGCCCAGCGCCCGCAGCCGCGUGGCCACCUAAGGCGGCGGCGCGGACGGCGGGCCACCCAGCGCCAGCACACGCCAGCCGCGGGCUCAUGUCCCCUCUGGUCGCGGACGGCGGCGCGAUGAGCAUCCACGACGCGCUCAAGUUCAUCUACCUCGCCAUCGCAUCCGCCGUUGCCUCCUUCGUCUUCGUCCGUAAGUCCGCCGCUCUCUCUCUCCCUGUCGCGCCGCGCGAGGAGCCGGGGCACCGAGCACGCAGACUAAGGAACCGGAGCACCGAACACGCAGACUAGAACCGGGGCACCAAGCACGCAGACUAAGGCCGACUUGUUGUGUUGCGCCGCGAGAAGAGGAUUGUCACCGGCGAGAGGCAGGCGGCGCAGAUACGGAACCUGUACCUCAAGACCAUCCAGCGCCAGGAGAUCGCCUUCUUCGACAAGUACACCAGCACUAGCGAGGUCGUGGGCAGGAUGUCCGGCGACACGGUGCUCAUCCAGGACGCCAUGAGCGAGAAGGUCGGCAAGUUCAUCCAGCUUGUCGACACCUUCUUCGGCGGCUUCAUCGACGCCUUCGCGCAGGGUUGGCUGCUCACCCUCGUCAUGAUGGCCGCUCGUCCUGGCGGGCGUCGUCAUGUCCAACGUCGUUGCCAAGAUGGCGUCCCUGGGCUAGGCAGCCUACGCGGAGUCGUCGGUGGUGGUGGAGGCCGUGGAGCAGACCAUCAGCUCCAUCAGAACGGUUGCGUCUUUCACCGGCGAGAAACGUGCGAUGGAGAAGUACUAGUCCCAGAAGAGUGCAUAUAAGUCCGGCGUCCGGGAAGGCCUACGAGGGAGAAGGCUGGGCGGCGAGGAUCCGACGCUCCCGCGGCGGCGCCUCGCCGGGAUGAGGGAGGAGUUUGAGCGGCGAGGAUCCGAUACUCCCGCGGCGGCGCCUCGCCGGAACGCGAGCCCGCGGCGCAGGAGACGAGGGAGGAGCUUGGGCGGCGAGGAUCUGACACUUUGUGGCGGGGGAGGAGUGGCAGAGGAGAGCGAGCCAUCAGCUAGGAGAGCAAAAGAGCCAGCGGCUAGGAGAGCCGCGCGCGAGUGCCAGCACGGGAGGAUCGUAAGAUCACGGGUCGAUGGCUGAUAUCGCGUGACUGCACAGUAAAGUCAAGUCAAGAAGUCCAACUGUAGAGGAUCUGAUUCCCCUAAGGCAGUCCCAAACCAGACUCUACUAUAGAGUCUAAGCCUCCUAUUUAUUGUAUUUUGCUGAUGUGGCAGUAUAUUUAUGAAAGAAAGAGUGAGAGAA